RNAcentral lists this ribosomal RNA (468 nucleotides) under uncultured bacterium. RNAcentral describes it as "partial 16S ribosomal RNA". It matches the Rfam family "Bacterial small subunit ribosomal RNA", at positions 28 to 507 of the family's 1533-position model. The record is from RNAcentral.
GACGAACGCUGGCGGCGUGCUUAACACAUGCAAGUCGAACGGUGAAGCUCCAGCUUGCUGGAGUGGAUCAGUGGCGAACGGGUGAGUAACACGUGAGCAACCUGCCCCUGACUCUGGAAUAAGCGCUGGAAACGGCGUCUAAUACUGGAUACGAGAAGGGUCCGCAUGGGCACUUUCUGGAAAGUUGUUCGGUUGGGGAUGGGCUCGCGGCCUAUCAGCUUGUUGGUGAGGUAAUGGCUCACCAAGGCGACGACGGGUAGCCGGCCUGAGAGGGCGACCGGCCACACUGGGACUGAGACACGGCCCAGACUCCUACGGGAGGCAACAGUGGGGAAUAUUGCACAAUGGGCGAAAGCCUGAUGCAGCGACGCCGCGUGAGGGAUGACGGCCUUCGGGUUGUAAACCUCUUUCAGCAGGGAAGAAGCGAAAGUGACGGUACCUGCAGAAGAAGCACCGGCUAACUACGUG